GAUGAACGCUGGCGGCGUGCUUAACACAUGCAAGUCGAACGUGAGGGUGCAGCGAUGUGCCUGAAAGUGGCGAACGGGUGAGUAACACGUAGAUGACCUGCCCUGGAGUGGGGGAUAACCAUUGGAAACGGUGGCUAAUACCGCAUACAUCCGGAGAACUGGGAAGUUUUCUGGGGAAAGCUCUGGUGCUUCAGGAGGGGUCUGCGUCCGAUUAGCUAGUUGGUGGGGUAAAGGCUCACCAAGGCGACGAUCGGUAGCUGGUCUGAGAGGACGAUCAGCCACACGGGAACUGAGACACGGUCCCGACUCCUACGGGGGGCAGCAGUGAGGAAUAUUGGGCAAUGGGCGGAAGCCUGACCCAGCAACGCCGCGUGGAGG
This 378-nucleotide ribosomal RNA is filed under the name uncultured bacterium. RNAcentral's name for it is "bacterial SSU rRNA". It matches the Rfam family "Bacterial small subunit ribosomal RNA", at positions 28 to 407 of the family's 1533-position model. The record is from RNAcentral.